RNAcentral lists this microRNA (20 nucleotides) under Ciona intestinalis (vase tunicate). Its description in RNAcentral is "cin-miR-4160-3p". Lineage: Eukaryota; Metazoa; Chordata; Ascidiacea; Phlebobranchia; Cionidae. The record is from miRBase by way of RNAcentral.
GAAGAUUGAAACAAACAUGG